UCGAACGAAGGUUUUCGCCCUUAGUGGCCGCACGGGUGCGUAACGCGUGGGAAUCUGCCUUCUGGUACGGAAUAACUCAGGGAAACUUGAGCUAAUACCGUAUAAUGACUUCGGUCCAAAGAUUUAUCGCCUGAGGAUGAGCCCGCGUCGGAUUAGCUAGUUGGUGAGGUAAAGGCUCACCAAGGCGACGAUCCGUAGCUGGUCUGAGAGGAUGAUCAGCCACACUGGGACUGAGACACGGCCCAGACUCCUACGGGAGGCAGCAGUGGGGAAUAUUGGACAAUGGGCGCAAGCCUGAUCCAGCAAUGCCGCGUGAGUGAUGAAGGCCUUAGGGUUGUAAAGCUCUUUUACCCGGGAUGAUAAUGACAGUACCGGGAGAAU
This 381-nucleotide ribosomal RNA is filed under the name uncultured soil bacterium. RNAcentral's name for it is "bacterial SSU rRNA". It matches the Rfam family "Bacterial small subunit ribosomal RNA", at positions 62 to 487 of the family's 1533-position model. The record is from RNAcentral.